RNAcentral lists this ribosomal RNA (375 nucleotides) under uncultured bacterium. Its description in RNAcentral is "bacterial SSU rRNA". It matches the Rfam family "Bacterial small subunit ribosomal RNA", at positions 523 to 898 of the family's 1533-position model. The record is from RNAcentral.
AUACGUAGGUGGCAAGCGUUGUCCGGAAUUAUUGGGCGUAAAGCGCGCGCAGGCGGCUUCCUAAGUCUGAUGUGAAAUCUUGCGGCUCAACCGCAAAAGGUCAUUGGAAACUGGGGAGCUUGAGUGCAGAAGAGGAGAGUAGAAUUCCACGUGUAGCGGUGAAAUGCGUAGAGAUGUGGAGGAAUACCAGUGGCGAAGGCGGCUCUCUGGUCUGUUACUGACGCUGAGGUGCGAAAGCAUGGGGAGCAAACAGGAUUAGAUACCCUGGUAGUCCAUGCCGUAAACGAUGAAUGCUAGGUGUUAGGGGGUCCAACCCUUAGUGCUGAAGUUAACACAUUAAGCAUUCCGCCUGGGGAGUACGACCGCAAGGUUGAA